RNAcentral lists this ribosomal RNA (766 nucleotides) under Flavobathelium epiphyllum. Its description in RNAcentral is "bacterial SSU rRNA". It matches the Rfam family "Eukaryotic small subunit ribosomal RNA", at positions 238 to 828 of the family's 1831-position model. The record is from RNAcentral. Lineage: Eukaryota; Fungi; Ascomycota; Dothideomycetes; Strigulales; Strigulaceae.
GCUUUUUGGUGAUUCAUAAUAACUUAACGAAUCGCAUGGCCUUGAGCCGGCGAUGGUUCAUUCAAAUUUCUGCCCUAUCAACUUUCGAUGGUAGGAUAGUGGCCUACCAUGGUUUCAACGGGUAACGGUUAGUGCUUUUUUGUAAAUAUCUAAAUUACAUCUGCUAAUAUUUAAAUACAGGGGAAUUAGGGUUCGAUUCCGGAGAGGGAGCCUGAGAAACGUGAGUAUAACCGUAGAAUAAACUCUUGAUAAAAUAUGUAACUAAUAUAAAUUUUACAGGGCUACCACAUCCAAGGAAGGCAGCAGGCGCGCAAAUUACCCAAUCCCGACACGGGGAGGUACGUUAUUCCAUUUAUCUUAAAAAAGUUUUUAUCUUUGAUCAUAUAUGCUAACACAUCUAUUUUACAGGUAGUGACAAUAAAUACUGAUCCAGGGCUCUUUUGGGUCUUGUAAUUGGAAUGAGUACAAUUUAAAUACCUUAACGAGGAACAAUUGGAGGGCAAGUCUGGUGCCAGCAGCCGCGGUAAUUCCAGCUCCAAUAGCGUAUAUUAAAGUUGUUGCAGUUAAAAAGCUCGUAGUUGAAACUUGGGCCUGGCUGGCCGGUCCGCCUCACCGCGUGCACUGGUCCGGCCGGGCCUUUUCUCCUGGGGAGCCUCAUGCCCUUCACUGGGCGUGCUGGGGAACCAGGACUUUUACUUUGAAAAAAUUAGAGUGUUCAAAGCAGGCCUUUGCUCGAAUACAUUAGCAUGGAAUAAUAGAAUAGGAC